Molecule: long non-coding RNA, 2451 nt
Organism: Nerophis ophidion (straightnose pipefish)
Lineage: Eukaryota; Metazoa; Chordata; Actinopteri; Syngnathiformes; Syngnathidae
Exons: 3
Source: RefSeq, a predicted model, not a curated record
AAAUAUUCAUAUUGUUAUACCCCUAAACGUCAGUGAUUGUUGGAAGUACUGAUGAGGGCAUUCUAGGACAGAUUGUUUUGGAAAGCCUUCUACUGAGCCGGCACAGCCGAGACUCUUGCCACUGGAAAUUCAGUCUAUUUCUUCUUGUGUCAAUUCCUUACAGCCUGUCCAUGUCUAUAAAACAAAUAUUUCCAUGUAUUUGUCCAUUUCUGGGUCAUUACGGAGUUUGAUUAGCCGCUAAACUUCAACGGAGAAAAUGGGGACAUUGCAGCAUUAUGAUUUGUUUUGAGGAAACAAAAGAGAAAGUAAGAUUCUGUCUAUGUGGGAACGCCACAUCAGAUCUCAGGAGAUUGUGGAUCCCAGGAACCUGAAAGAGUCCAAACUGUGACACUGUGCUGUUCAGAAUGGCAGACUCCUCGCUAUCCUGUAUGAGACCGAUCCGACGGUGGUGUCAUCUGCAUCCUUGGGCCUUGUUAACACUGCACACCAAAUAUUAUUUUUUUGGCCUUAAGUGACACGGAUCAAAUAUUUUUAGCCAGUCUAAAUGCUCCAAAGUGUUUCAAAUCGGAUCUUUUCACAUCAGCUUUUAGCCACAUCAGGAGGUAGUCGGAAUCCAGUUGGAAUCUGAUCUUUUCAAAUGUGACUGCAGCAAAAUUAUACACACAUAUAUAUAUAUAUAUAUAUAUAUACACACAUACACACACAUAUAUAUAUAUAUAUAUAUAUAUAUAUAUAUAUACACACACACACACAUAUAUACACACACACACACACACAUACAUACAUAUACAUAUCAUUAUCCAUGCGUUUGCUAGGUCUCGUCUCGAUUACUGUAACGUAUUAUUUUUGGGUCUCCCCAUGUCUAGCAUUAAAAUAUUACAGUUGGAGCAAAAUGCGGCUGCUAGACUUUUGACAAGAACAAGAAAGUUUGAUCAUAUUACGCCUAUACUGGCUCACCUACACUGGCUUCCUGUGCACUUAAGAUGUGACUUUAAGGUUUUACUACUUACAUAUAAAAUACUGUAAUGUCACUAUUGCUGAAAAAAUAGUACAGUAGCAAUAGGAGAGACUAUUCAUCCCUGAACACCAUGGAGUUCAAGUGAAAUAACAGAGACAGGGCUUUGCUGCCCCAAACAAGCACGCACCAAAAUGAGCUAACGUUACGCUAAAAGCUAAUUAUUCUUCACCUCAAGCCAGGACUGCGAGCGAGCUGAGCUGCAGUUUAAGUUUCUAGAAGGUCAACGGGCUUAUAGUGAUGUUAGUAGUAGUUGACUGGGAGGUGUUUUUUUAUAAUUUGGGGAGAGUAUGCUGCCUUAUGCUCACCUGCUAAAUACCUAUCUGCUCGACACUGAAGCAUUUACUACAUGCGCUCUGAAUAAGCACUGCUGAUUGGCUGUUACCGCUCUGAAUAUGCACUGCUGAUUGGCUGUUAUCGCUUUGUAUGUAACCAAUCAGAUGGUUGUGUGGGUGGGACAAUGCUGGGUGCUUGGACAGAGGCAGAAGUAGCAAAGCAGCUUGUUAGGACUUUAGCUUUGAAACUCGUUCGGUACACCCCCAUACCGAACCGAAACCCCAGUACCGAAACGGUUCAAUACAAAUACACGUACAGUUACACCCCUAAUAUAUAUAUAUAUAUAUAUAUAUACGCUCGCACAAACACACACACACACACACACACGUGUAUAUAUGCACAUACUUGGCCAGGCCACAGGUGUAUAAAAUCAAGCACUUAGGCAUGAAGACUGUUUCUACAAACAUUUGUGAAAGAAUGGAUCGGUCUAAGGAGCUCGGUGAUUAACAGCGUGAAACUGUCAUAGGAUGCAAACUAAAUACUGCCAAACUAUAUAUCUGUUUUUUUUACUCUUUAAUAACAUCAACUUGUCAGCUUUUUGUCAUUACAUGAUGCCUUUAUCUCUAUUUUUACAUUUUGACAGACAGAGUUUUUAUUCAUUUAUUUGUUUUAAGUUAUGUACAUUUAUAUGCAGAAGCUGUAUCGGGACAGAUCCAUUAUGAGUUUGAGCAGAAAUAUGUCGUAUAGGAAUUAACUACACACAAUAAAACAUUAACAAAAUUAUGUGUCACAUGAAUGAUUGUUUUAAGUAACAACUUAUUGUAAAAAACAUGGUGUUUACACUUUGAUAUCAAAAUAAAAAACAAAGCAGUUUGGCUAAUGAAAAUAUAGUCAAAUAAACAAGCUUUGUCCUUCUCCAACGCCUCCCUAGUGUUUCAGUCCAACAGUUUGGCUAGAUAAAAAACCUGGAGUGAUCCCUCUAACAUCGAAUAAACAAUCUUCACAGUCUGCGUUCAAUUCGAUGAGAUGACAAAACAUUUAACCAGUAUUGAUGUUAUUUGAACACUGAUACAGUUUGUAGUUAAAUAAAGGACGAGUGAGCAUCCCAGUAAACAAAGUAAAGACUUUAUAAACAAGUUGUGACAACGUUCACAACACAU